AUGUCCGCCUCAGCUGAUCGCUCUCCCCCGUGGGAGGAAGGCCGCGCCUCGGUCCGCAUCAGGUUUUCCUCUUCUGCCCCCAGCGGGACGCCGGCCGAGAGGCUCACCGACGACCUCCUGGUGGAGAUCCUCUCCCGUGUCCCGGUCAAGUCGCUCUGCCGCUUCAAGUGCGUCUCCAACCACUGGCUGAGCCUCAUCCACCACCCGGACCACCGCAAAAAGCUCCCACAGACCCUGGCCGGCUUCUUCUACACCACCGACGACUUUGAGCGCAUCCCGAUCUCAGCAUACCAUCUCGCCAAUUUCUCUGGGAGAAGCUGCCCUCCGAUAGACACAUCUUUCUCCUUCCUGCGGAACCACCGGCGCGUCGAUCUACUGGAUUGUUGUGCCGGCCUCCUCCUCUGCAGCUGCUACACGGGCGAGGGUGACCGUUACAUCGUGUGCAAUCCCGCGAGGGAGGAGUGGGUGAUGCUGCCGGAAACCAGCAAUGCAGGCACGAGGGGCACUGUAAGUUUGGGUUUCGAUCUGGCUGUGUCGUCCCACUUCCAUGUGUUUGUGUUGCUGGCGUUCAUGGAUCAUGAUGGUAACCUUGGCCGUGGCCUCACGAGGGUGGAUAUUUUUUCGUCCGAAACCGGGAGAUGGGUUCGUAAAGAAAAGAGAUGGAACGAGAAUCUUUAUUUUCUUGGUCCUAGGCACCAAUCUACCGUUUUCCUCAACGGCUAUAUGCAUUUUUACGCCUACAGCAUCACGUCAUCCCAUUGUGUAGUCGUGGUUGACAUGGAGGGGGAAACAUGGACGACCUUCCGUAUCCCUGGCCAUCUGCGGCAUGGUUUUCUUCAGCUGUCACAGGGCUGCUUGCACUAUUCCAGUUUUCAGGAAGAUGAAGAUGAGGUGGUUCGACUAGUUGUUUAUGUUCUUGAGGACUAUGACAACAAAGAGUGGAUGUUGAAGCAUAUCAUUGAAACUUCACACAUAUCUGGAUGGACACCUAUUGACCACCGUUGUAUCGCAAUUCAUCCGGAGUAUGACUUGAUCUUCUUCACCGUGGGAGUGGCUACCAAAAUCAUGUGCUAUGAUAUGAAUAGUCGGCAAGUCAAACUGAUCUCCAAUGUUGAAUAUGAUAAUCCACCAUAUCUUCUAUAUGUCCCAUUGUAUGCAGAGAUACAAUCAUUGCACACAUGA
This 1182-nucleotide ribosomal RNA is filed under the name Triticum aestivum (bread wheat). Its description in RNAcentral is "partial small subunit ribosomal RNA". The record is from RNAcentral. Lineage: Eukaryota; Viridiplantae; Streptophyta; Magnoliopsida; Poales; Poaceae.